UCCUAAUAAGGCCAGAGAUGAACUUGACUGCAUACUGUCAACAACUUGCUUUGUCACCUCCCUUUACAGAUGGCUUUUGUGUGGGAAGCUGUUUGACAGAAGGGAAUGGAGCAGCACAGCAGAGUGUCUUUUGAGUGUAAGGAGAGGUACUUUUCUUCUCUUCCUGAAGAGAAAUAUCUAGAAGAAGUGAUUGGCCACCUUUGCAAAUGUGCCUUGGACCAGCCAUGGGUGUCUGAGAUGUAUCCUACUCAAUAAGAACUUUUGGGGAAACCACCAGAGCAUUCAUUCAGAGAUCAUUGUUUUACUAUCUCUGCAUCAGGGCAUCAUAAGCAUUUGGAAUGAUUCUUCCUGACCAGAAUACACAGAUGGCAUGUUUGGUAAGUGAAAGAAUUCAUGUAGCCUAUAUAACCCAACUGCUUUGCAACCAGUGCUUUGUAAAGUCACAUAAAAACCAAUA
Molecule: long non-coding RNA, 457 nt
Filed under: Felis catus (domestic cat)
Lineage: Eukaryota; Metazoa; Chordata; Mammalia; Carnivora; Felidae
Description: lncRNA (ENSFCAG00000042485.2)
Source: RNAcentral